Molecule: long non-coding RNA, 1754 nt
Filed under: Sorghum bicolor (sorghum)
Lineage: Eukaryota; Viridiplantae; Streptophyta; Magnoliopsida; Poales; Poaceae
Description: long non-coding RNA (SBIC_LNC014279)
Source: RNAcentral
CUAAUCUGAAUCUUAAUAAUAAAACUCUAGCAUGGAUAUGAUGAAUAGUUGCUCUGCCUAAUUUGCAAAUUUGAAGUUCUCUCUCAAGUUUAGACAUAACUGUUAUAAUUUAAAGCUUGCUCUAGAUCUAAACUUGUGGGAUGAAAACUUGAUCUGAAAUCUAAGUUGUUAACGGAUAUGAUAUGGGAAGGUUGAGCUACUGUUUAUCUGUUCCUAGAGAUGCUAGAAUUCUGGAGAAUUUUAUCUUUCAAAAAUCUUUAAAAUAUUGCAUGAUGAGUUCCUGUAUGAAGAGAGUUUAAAUUCCUACCACAGCCAUAUAUACAUGCUUGCUAGACUUUGAGCCACACAUUUAUUAUUUACUGCUUAUGAGCAUUGAGUGUGGUCAAGCUGUGUAGACCCUUAGGAGCUUGUCAUGUGGUUAAAUCAAGAUUCACUUGCACGUUCACUCAUAUAUGCUACUUCUACUCUGGAAGUACCAUCCACAUAUAUCCAUCCAUGUCCAUCUCCAGAACCACCCUAAAAUAUUCUACUCCUAAUCCGGGAGAGAAUAACCAAAAAUAUUUCUGUUUUCCCUUGUGAAAUAAAUGCUCAAGUUAUCUUGCUACUACCACUUGCUAUAUUAUCUCAAUAGAUGAGUGCUCUGAAAAAAAAGAAAAGAGAAGAAAAGAAAAAAAAUAAUAAAUAAACGAGGGAAUAAAAAGGGGCAAGUGCCCGGAACCUCGAAAGAAAGAAAAAGUGAGACGAGAGGUAAAAAUGGACAAGUAUCCGACAGUAGAAUUAGGGGUACAAGAUACCCACCUGAGAGGAAAGAAAAAGAAGAGCAUCUCAUUCUCCUCAUAAAGUUUCAAAAAGCAAGGAAGGUAUGUAUCUCCUCAAAAGAGCAAAAGUAGAAUUAGACUUUCACCAUUGUUAUCACCAUCAUCACCAUACACCAUUCAUUCGCCACACAUGCACAUCUUGAUUUUGCUUAUUGAUUUGUUUCUUUGGAUCCAUGGUUUGACUAUACAAUAAAUGUCUUGUAAGUAUGUAUACUUUAUCUCCCACCUAUGAGCUCUAGAUAUUAAAGCCUUAUUAGAGUAGGAUGAGAGAGAAGGCAAUGUCACUAUGCCUUAUACCACAAAUACCACAUAUCUUGAGAGAAGGCAUAUACCAUCACUGCCUUGGUAAGGAUCCAGAAAUACCACAAAAGAGAGAAUUGAGAGAGUCAUACAAGGAAUCUCUGAGUUUUAUUUGAAAAUCUGCAAAAACUCCACAGCUAUAGCUAAUCAAGAAUAAGAGACAUGGCACUUGGCUAGACUGUUCUAUCUUUUAACUACUCAAGACAGAAGUGACGGUUACAAGUCCCAUGGUGAAAGGUAAAGUAAGUAAGUUUUAGUUCUUGACAGUUUACUCUAAUUUAGAGAUGAGAUCUUAUUUAAAAGCAUGUGUACCGUCAAAUUUUUAAGAUAUUGCAACAACUUCUGAUCCACUGCUGAGUCUAUCCUUGCUCAGGGACGAGCAAGAGGUAAGCUUGGGGGUGUUUGUUGACGGUCCUUAAGUAUCAAAUUUAAUUAUCAAAUAAACAAAGAAAAGGAUCCAAAUGAAAUCAACAUCUAGACUUAGGGUUUUAUCUGACAGAAUUCCACGAGUUUUGGUGUUUGUCUAUUUCUGCAGGGGGUUAUCAGGAAAUACGGAAGAAAGUCCCACACGUCGGGAUUACAUAGAGAUAUUAACGUGCCGCGCAAUUGUCUUACAUCUAGAAGACUCCAGAAGCC